AUACGUAGGUGGCAAGCGUUGUCCGGAAUUACUGGGUGUAAAGGGAGCGUAGGCGGGAUUGCAAGUUGAAUGUUUAAACUACCGGCUCAACCGGUAGUCGCGUUCAAAACUGCAGUUCUUGAGUGAAGUAGAGGCAGGCGGAAUUCCUAGUGUAGCGGUGAAAUGCGUAGAUAUUAGGAGGAACACCAGUGGCGAAGGCGGCCUGCUGGGCUUUAACUGACGCUGAGGCUCGAAAGCGUGGGGAGCAAACAGGAUUAGAUACCCUGGUAGUCCACGCUGUAAACGAUGAUUACUAGGUGUGGGGGGACUGACCCCUUCCGUGCCGGAGUUAACACAAUAAGUAAUCCACCUGGGGAGUACGACCGCAAGGUUGAA
Molecule: ribosomal RNA, 375 nt
Filed under: uncultured Anaerotruncus sp.
Lineage: Bacteria; Bacillati; Bacillota; Clostridia; Eubacteriales; Oscillospiraceae
Description: bacterial SSU rRNA
Rfam family: Bacterial small subunit ribosomal RNA
Source: RNAcentral